Molecule: ribosomal RNA, 466 nt
Filed under: uncultured bacterium
Lineage: Bacteria
Description: partial 16S ribosomal RNA
Rfam family: Bacterial small subunit ribosomal RNA
Source: RNAcentral
GACGAACGCUGGCGGUGUGCUUAACACAUGCGAGUCGAACGGUAAGGCCCUUUCGGGGGUACACGAGUGGCGAACGGGUGAGUAACACGUGAGUAACCUGCCCUCAUCUCUGGGAUAACAGUCGGAAACGGUUGCUAAUACUGGAUAUGAGCUUGCAAGGCAUCUUGUGGGUUGGAAAGAUUUUUUUGGUUGGGGAUGGACUCGCGGCCUAUCAGCUUGUUGGUGAGGUAGUGGCUCACCAAGGCUUCGACGGGUAGCCGGCCUGAGAGGGCGACCGGCCACAUUGGGACUGAGAUACGGCCCAAACUCCUACGGGAGGCAGCAGUGGGGAAUAUUGCACAAGGGACGGAAGUCUGAUGCAGCAACGCCGCGUGCGGGAGGACGGCCUUCGGGUUGUAAACCGCUUUCAAUUGUGACGAAGCUUUUUGUGACGGUAGCAGUAGAAGAAGCACCGGCUAACUACGUG